Homo sapiens (human) is the source of this 148-nucleotide non-coding RNA. It matches the Rfam family "Metazoan signal recognition particle RNA". Rfam says of the family: The signal recognition particle (SRP) is a universally conserved ribonucleoprotein. It is involved in the co-translational targeting of proteins to membranes. The eukaryotic SRP consists of a 300-nucleotide 7S RNA and six proteins: SRPs 72, 68, 54, 19, 14, and 9. NCBI's taxonomy places the organism in Eukaryota, Metazoa, Chordata, Mammalia, Primates, Hominidae. The record is from Rfam.
GCCAGGUGUGGUGGCUCAUGCCUGUAAUCCCAACUACUUAGGAGGCUGAGGCAGGAGAAUCACUUGAAUCCAGGAGGCAGAGGUUGCAGUGAGUCGAGAUUGUGCCACUGCACUCCAGCCUGGGUGACAGAGUGAGAUUCUGUCUCAA